UACGUAGGGUGCAAGCGUUUGUCCGGAAUUAUUGGGCGUAAAGGGCUCGUAGGCGGUCUGUCACGUCGGGAGUGAAAACACGGGGCUUAACCCCGUGCCUGCUUCCGAUACGGGCAGACUAGAGGUAUGCAGGGGAGAACGGAAUUCCUGGUGUAGCGGUGAAAUGCGCAGAUAUCAGGAGGAACACCGGUGGCGAAGGCGGUUCUCUGGGCAUUACCUGACGCUGAGGAGCGAAAGUGUGGGGAGCGAACAGG
This 254-nucleotide ribosomal RNA is filed under the name uncultured bacterium. RNAcentral describes it as "partial 16S ribosomal RNA". It matches the Rfam family "Bacterial small subunit ribosomal RNA", at positions 524 to 776 of the family's 1533-position model. The record is from RNAcentral.